Molecule: long non-coding RNA, 393 nt
Filed under: Lathyrus oleraceus (garden pea)
Lineage: Eukaryota; Viridiplantae; Streptophyta; Magnoliopsida; Fabales; Fabaceae
Description: Pisum sativum (pea) long non-coding RNA (PSAT_LNC009208)
Source: RNAcentral
CCUCUCAAAAACAUCUCACCAUCAUCUAAAAAAAAAUCACCUCUUAACUCCUUAUGCUAAAACGCACACACAACCUUAAUCUUCUUCACCAUUCGAACCUCUCCAACUACACCCAUAACCAACACCACACUAAAAUCAAACCCCCAUAAUUUAUCACAAAAAACAUGUUUUCAUCUUUUACAAAUCUCACACAACAAUGGCUCCAUUAUCACUUAACCUUCCAUCAACCCAUCCCAAAAUAACUUAACUCUCAUUUCUUAUCCCUCUCCACACCGUGAAAUUCCGUACCUUCCAUCAACCCAUCCCAAAAUAACUUAACUCUCAUUUCUUAUCCCUCUCCACACCGUGAAAUUCCGAACGACCGAGACAUACGACAAACCGCCGUCGACCGCC